Molecule: non-coding RNA, 72 nt
Organism: Coemansia sp. RSA 1250
Lineage: Eukaryota; Fungi; Kickxellomycota; Kickxellomycetes; Kickxellales; Kickxellaceae
Source: the annotation of a GenBank genome assembly
GGGUUCGUGGCGCAACGGUAGCGCAGUCGCCUCCAGAGCGAAAGGUUGUUGGUUCAAAUCCUGCCGAGCCCA